UGCCUAUGCCAUACCACCCUGAACGUACUCCAUCACAUUUGAUCUCAGAAGGUAAGCAGGGUCAGGUCUGGUUGGAUGGGAGA
Cricetulus griseus (Chinese hamster) is the source of this 83-nucleotide ribosomal RNA. The record is from Ensembl. Lineage: Eukaryota; Metazoa; Chordata; Mammalia; Rodentia; Cricetidae.